UUUAGCCUACGGGAGGCAGCAGUCGGGAAUAUUGCGCAAUGGAGGAAACUCUGACGCAGUGACGCCGCGUGCAGGAAGAAGGUUUUCGGAUUGUAAACUGCUUUAGACAGGGAAGAAACAAGACAGUACCUGUAGAAUAAGCUCCGGCUAACUACGUGCCAGCAGCCGCGGUAAUACGUAGGGAGCAAGCGUUAUCCGGAUUUAUUGGGUGUAAAGGGUGCGUAGACGGGAAAACAAGUUAGUUGUGAAAUCCCUCGGCUUAACUGAGGAACUGCAACUAAAACUAUUUUUCUUGAGUGUUGGAG
RNAcentral lists this ribosomal RNA (305 nucleotides) under uncultured bacterium. Its description in RNAcentral is "bacterial SSU rRNA". It matches the Rfam family "Bacterial small subunit ribosomal RNA", at positions 333 to 654 of the family's 1533-position model. The record is from RNAcentral.